AUUGAACGCUGGCGGCAGGCCUAACACAUGCAAGUCGAGCGAGCGGCGGACGGGUGAGUACUGUCUGGGAAACUGCCUGUUGGCUGGGGAUAACUACUGGAAACGGUAUCUAAUACCGCAUACCAUCAGAUUUGCCCAGCUGGGAUUAGCUAGUGGGUGGGGUAACGGCUCACCUAGGCGACGAUCCCUAGCUGAUCUGAGAGGAUGACCAGCCACACUGGAACUGAGACACGGUCCAGACUCCUACGGGAGGCAGCAGUGGGGAAUAUUGGACAAUGGACGAAAGCCUGAUGCAGCAAUGCCGCGUGUGUGAAGAAGGCUUUCGGGUUGUAAAGCACUUUUAGCGGGGAGGCGUUACCCGAAGAAGAAGCACCGGCUAACUCCGUGCCAGCAGCCGCGGUAAUUC
Molecule: ribosomal RNA, 406 nt
Filed under: uncultured bacterium
Lineage: Bacteria
Description: partial 16S ribosomal RNA
Rfam family: Bacterial small subunit ribosomal RNA
Source: RNAcentral